AUAAUAUGUCAUAUUAAAUCGAAAUGUAUUUAUAAAUUUUAAAAGUUUCUGUAUUAGACGCUACUGCAGUUCGAAUUCCGAACGAAGGAACGUUCCUCUCCAUUAAAUAUCCGAUGCCGUAUGCGCGUGCGCGCCUGGUUUACGGAGCAUGCAAACGAAAAGUGUAAAUCCAGAAAAUUGUAAAAGAAGAGAAUAAAAUAAAAGAAGAUUAAAAAAAAAUGCCUUCCGAAGAUAAAACUUUUCCGAUAACAAUACAAUUCGGAGGUGGAGCUGAGACAUUGUUCGAUAAGAAAAAAAUACACAAGGUUAACUUACCUGAUGACGCAUGGACAUUGAAAAAAUUAUUAUAUUGGAUUAAAGAUAAUCUCUUGAAAGAACGAUUGGAUCUUUUUAUGCAAGAAGACACCGUACGACCAGGAAUUCUUGUUCUUGUUAACGACACAGAUUGGGAAUUAUUGAAAAGAGGGCUAAGUCGUAUUACUGUGCGAGAAGUUCGUAGGCAGUUAAUCAAUUUCGUCGCUAGAUGGCUGCAGGUAUACAAGUCAGGGACCGAGUAGUUUAUCAUUGACAUUCAGUAUCGAAGAUCGCACUUUACAGGCAUCUACACUUAUCAACAUCGCGUUAGAGGCUUUCGAACAGAACUAAAGAUCUUAUUAAAAUAUAAUCAAUGAUAUUAUUACCAACAUGCACAACGUAUACUUCACGAAAUAGUUCGAGGAAAGAACAUAUCUUUUAAAAAGGUCAAGGAGAUUAUGUUUUACAACCAAACGACAACGUUUUCUUCAUAUCGACGUUACACGGUGGUUAAAAUGUUAGAAAGGACAUCACUCUUUCUACUGCCAUUGCUUGUUGAUGGAAGUAAGUGAAGUAUUCUAGAAGGAGAUGAUCAUUUGUAAUUACAAAACUAACAAUCUCGAAAGAGUUUAUUAUUAUUAUUUUAAUAAUAAGAUCAAGUUACAUCGAUAAUAAAGUUAUUUUUAUAAAUAUGCAAUCGAAGUAUAUA
Polistes dominula (European paper wasp) is the source of this 1003-nucleotide unclassified non-coding RNA. Lineage: Eukaryota; Metazoa; Arthropoda; Insecta; Hymenoptera; Vespidae. The record is from RefSeq and is a predicted model, not a curated record.